UUUAUUUUUUUAUUUUUUGACAUGCUAAAAACAUUAUUCUUUCAGGGGAACAAAAUUAUAAAAAUGGGAAAUGAAACAUUAUUUUAGAACCCCUACCCUCAGUGUGAUUUAUAAAUCAUGUUUUAGUCACAAUCAGGUGACCACCCACCUGCUGUGACUUUACUAGUUUAGUAGAGCUGCUUAAACGCAGUCGAGUUCCUUAUGAGGUUCAACCUCCUUAUGUUUACGCAACUAAAGUUUCACUUUGACUCUCUUGGCUGAUCCUCCAGUGAUUCAGUCUCUCCUCUGUUGGUUUCAGCCAAACGGUGGACGGAAACUGUACAGAUUCUCAACCAGCCCCUGCAGCAGGCAAAUGUUUUCUUUGAUUUCCACACAAAGAAAUCUCUGAUUAGAGGUGAAUUCUCCACUGAACACAUUGUGUUAUGAGGAUAGUAUCUUAAAAUCGUCUUCAAUACGUGGGGAAAAACCCAACUCAAACCCAACUCAAGAGCAUGAAUCCCAUAACCUCUGAAGUGAGUUGUGUAGUCCCAGUGAGUUCUUUCUGGUAUCUGAAUCAUGUCUGCAAUAAAGAAAUUAAAGUCAUAGAACAAAAGCACAAAGUUCAAAUGGUGGCACACGUCAAUGUGUCAUUUCAAGCUGAUCAGGGAGCUGGAAGUCCACUUGCAGCUAUGUCUGAGUUCUUAGAGCUGAAUCUUGUGGUUCACUCAUUCCUCUCAAGUUUGUUGAUCCAGAUCAGUGGAGCGAUGCAUUCAGGGUCAUCCAGAAAGCUGAAAAAAAGUUUUUGCUUACUCUGACAUCUGAGGAAAUCACUGCAUUUGGGCCAAGCUGCAGUCAGGAUGCAUUCAGCGAUGCAAUAAAUGCAAUGAAGAAAGGAACAAACCUUCUCAAGGAGUCUGAAUUGAGAGCUCAGGCAACACCAUCAAAGAUGGACCAGAACGUGAAAGAUUUGCUUUCAACAAAAAUGGAUAUGCUCUGCAGCAAAAGAACUGACACUUCGACUUAUGCAGUAAAUGCUUUCAGACUCCCAACAUGUGAAAGAAAAGCCCAGCUUCCAAAGUCCUGUACUUCUAGAUCAACUUUGUCCUUCACCCUUCCUUCUAAAAGUACAUCAGAAGGUGGCAAUAAAUUCACUUCUUUGAAAAUCACUAAAAAACCUACAUUAUCAAAAGAAAAGCCUGGUAAAGAAUACUGUUCUAUAUGUUCACUGCCAUUGAAUAAAAAGAGGCGGCUGAAGUGUCAACAUGAAUUUUGUGAAGAGUGCCUAGAGGAUGCAUUACAUCAGACUGGGUCCAUAUGUCCCAUAUGCAACCAUGUCUUUGAUGUGUUAACGGGAGAUCAGCCAAACGGACAGAUGUCAUGGGUCAAAAAUUCAGAUUCUCUCCCUGGAUUCUCAGGCUGUGGCCACAUCGUCAUCACUUACAACAUCGCCAAUGGAGUACAGACGGACAGACAUCCCAACCCAGGAAAGCCAUUUUCUGGUACUUGCAGAACUGCAUAUCUUCCAGACAACAAAGAAGGCAAUGCUGUUCUGCAACUUUUAAAGAAAGCAUUUGACCAGAGGCUGAUUUUUACAGUUGGCAAUUCCGAAACAAAUGGCCUAGAAAAUCAGGUUAUUUGGAAUGACAUUUCCCACAAGACAUCUCUGUCAGGAGGCAUAAAGAAUUUUGGAUAUCCUGAUCCCAACUAUUUGGAAAGAGUCAAGAAGGACCUGAAAGCUAAAGGCAUCAAGGAAGACUGAAACCAAUGAAACCUUUUCUUAAGAUUAACCUUUGUAAGACUUUAUAAAACUUUCAAAGACUUUGCAUGACUUUGUUUUUUGUUUUUUUCUUUCAUACGUCAAUAUAUUUUAACAGACUGGGCAUAAAAAGGUCAUAAAAAUUUGAGGACUUUAACUUGGUGAAUAAUUAUUUACUAGAUGAGAAAUGAUGCACUUGUUUGCAGUCUCACAGCUAAUAAGUUAUAUCUAGCAUUAAACCAUUUUCUUAUCUUUAACAAUAAUGUAUUCAAAUAUUUUAGUGUUUCUACAGUCAUUAGCCUAGUUGACAGACUGUGAUUAGAUUGAGUUUUUUGCAGUCUAGUUUUUUUUUGCCAAAAUAACAAUCAUUUUUUAUGUUUCUGAUCUAAAGUGUGGAAAUAUAUAUUUGAAAAAAAUGGCAUAAUCCCUGUUUAUGGGACAAGUAAAUUGUUUUUGUAAUAAUGGUCUGUUAUAAUUCAGUUGAUCAUUAAGGAACCCCAAGAAAAUAAAGGAAAAAUGUAUAUGC
Oryzias latipes (Japanese medaka) is the source of this 2261-nucleotide non-coding RNA. NCBI's taxonomy places the organism in Eukaryota, Metazoa, Chordata, Actinopteri, Beloniformes, Adrianichthyidae. The record is from RefSeq and is a predicted model, not a curated record.